Molecule: ribosomal RNA, 264 nt
Filed under: uncultured bacterium
Lineage: Bacteria
Description: partial 16S ribosomal RNA
Rfam family: Bacterial small subunit ribosomal RNA
Source: RNAcentral
GUCCUUGCCGUAAACGAUGUGUACUUGAUGUAGCUAGGCUCAACCCUGGCUGUGUCGGAGCUAACGCGAUAAGUACACCGCCUGAGGAGUACGCUCGCAAGGGUGAAACUCAAAAGAAUUGACGGGGGCCCGCACAAGCAGUGGAGCAUGUGGUUUAAUUCGAUGCAACGCGAAGAACCUUACCUGGGCUCGAAAAUGCAGAGGGCGACUACAGAAAUGUAGUUUUCCGUAAGGACUUCUGUAUAGGUGCUGCAUGGCUGUCGU